This 421-nucleotide unclassified non-coding RNA is filed under the name Hevea brasiliensis (rubber tree). Lineage: Eukaryota; Viridiplantae; Streptophyta; Magnoliopsida; Malpighiales; Euphorbiaceae. The record is from RNAcentral.
CUUUUUUCAGAUCUAUAUUCUGCUUAUAUCUCGACCAAACACAAAAGUUGUGGCCCAGUUAAUAGCCACAUAGAAUCUAUUCCUCCAGCUUAUCACACGUGUUAGAUAUGCAGAGCGCCAUACAAACCAACUGAUAAAUCCUGCCAGAGAAAUCCCUUUGGCCUCUUUGCUCUGUCUAAGAUCAACCAAAGCCUUGAAGCUGCCAAUGGUUGCCAUGCUUCCCAGAUGUCUGUAAACAAAUGGAUCCCCCAAUUCUACAUCUUUAGCACCAUAUGCAUGCCCCCCACCAGCUAUACCAAUUUUGUUUAAGAGACUUGAAAGAUAUUUUCCUUGCCGUUCGGCAACCUGAGCCAAAGCAGGAAGGACUGUUUUACCAGUGCUUUCAAGAAAGCCACUGCAGUCACCAAUAGCAAACACAUCC